RNAcentral lists this ribosomal RNA (311 nucleotides) under uncultured bacterium. Its description in RNAcentral is "bacterial SSU rRNA". It matches the Rfam family "Bacterial small subunit ribosomal RNA", at positions 28 to 334 of the family's 1533-position model. The record is from RNAcentral.
GACGAACGCUGGCGGCGCGCCUAACACAUGCAAGUCGAACGGAGAGAAAGACAGCUUGCUGGAUUUCUCUUAGUGGCGGACGGGUGAGUAACACGUGAGCAACCUGCCCCUCAGAGAGGGAUAACGUUUGGAAACGAACGCUAAUACCUCAUAACACUUUUGGUCGGCAUCGACCUUAAGUCAAAGAUUUAUCGCUGAGGGAUGGGCUCGCGUCCGAUUAGGUAGUUGGUGAGAUAACAGCCCACCAAGCCGACGAUCGGUAGCCGGACUGAGAGGUUGAACGGCCACAUUGGGACUGAGACACGGCCCAG